AAACAAAUUUCUGCAUGAUAUGGCAGCAGCUAAGGGAAUCAGGUUUGCUAAGGUAAUUGUGGUGAUAGGAAUGAUCAGCCUCCAAAGGUCCUGAGGAGGUGGCUUAGUCCUGGUCCAGCCCUGUG
RNAcentral lists this small nucleolar RNA (125 nucleotides) under Nannospalax galili (Upper Galilee mountains blind mole rat). The record is from RNAcentral. Lineage: Eukaryota; Metazoa; Chordata; Mammalia; Rodentia; Spalacidae.